AGCGGGGUAGAGGAAUUGGUCGACUAAUCACGCUCAUGAUCUGAAGACAGCAGGUUCGAAUCCUGUCCCCGCCU
Molecule: non-coding RNA, 74 nt
Organism: Hordeum vulgare subsp. vulgare (domesticated barley)
Lineage: Eukaryota; Viridiplantae; Streptophyta; Magnoliopsida; Poales; Poaceae
Source: Rfam